This 429-nucleotide ribosomal RNA is filed under the name Bacillota bacterium. RNAcentral describes it as "Firmicutes bacterium partial 16S ribosomal RNA". It matches the Rfam family "Bacterial small subunit ribosomal RNA", at positions 355 to 776 of the family's 1533-position model. Lineage: Bacteria; Bacillati; Bacillota. The record is from RNAcentral.
UAGGGAAUCUUCGGCAAUGGACGGAAGUCUGACCGAGCAACGCCGCGUGAGUGAAGAAGGUUUUCGGAUCGUAAAGCUCUGUUGUUAGAGAAGAACGUUGGAAGGAGUGGAAAAUCUACCAAGUGACGGUAACUAACCAGAAAGGGACGGCUAACUACGUGCCAGCAGCCGCGGUAAUACGUAGGUCACGAGCGUUGUCCGGAUUUAUUGGGCGUAAAGCGAGCGCAGGCGGUUCUUUAAGUCUGAAGUUAAAGGCAGUGGCUUAACCAUUGUACGCUUUGGAAACUGGAGGACUUGAGUGCAGAAGGGGAGAGUGGAAUUCCAUGUGUAGCGGUGAAAUGCGUAGAUAUAUGGAGGAACACCGGUGGCGAAAGCGGCUCUCUGGUCUGUAACUGACGCGGAGGCUCGAAAGCGUGGGGAGCAAACAGG